This 75-nucleotide transfer RNA is filed under the name Escherichia coli. RNAcentral describes it as "tRNA-Gln". It matches the Rfam family "tRNA". Rfam says of the family: Transfer RNA (tRNA) molecules are approximately 80 nucleotides in length. Their secondary structure includes four short double-helical elements and three loops (D, anti-codon, and T loops). Further hydrogen bonds mediate the characteristic L-shaped molecular structure. tRNAs have two regions of fundamental functional importance: the anti-codon, which is responsible for specific mRNA codon recognition, and the 3' end, to which the tRNAs corresponding amino acid is attached (by aminoacyl-tRNA synthetases). tRNAs cope with the degeneracy of the genetic code in two manners: having more than one tRNA (with a specific anti-codon) for a particular amino acid; and 'wobble' base-pairing, i.e. permitting non-standard base-pairing at the 3rd anti-codon position. Lineage: Bacteria; Pseudomonadati; Pseudomonadota; Gammaproteobacteria; Enterobacterales; Enterobacteriaceae. RNAcentral also lists the same sequence under 10 other names. The record is from RNAcentral.
UGGGGUAUCGCCAAGCGGUAAGGCACCGGUUUUUGAUACCGGUAUUCCCUGGUUCGAAUCCAGGUACCCCAGCCA